This 23-nucleotide non-coding RNA is filed under the name Arabidopsis thaliana (thale cress). The record is from RNAcentral. Lineage: Eukaryota; Viridiplantae; Streptophyta; Magnoliopsida; Brassicales; Brassicaceae.
AACUGGGCUUCAGGGGCUCCGUC